ACCAAAUGGAUCCUUAAUUCUGUGGCUAAAAAGAAAAAGUAUUCAAGAAUAGUUUCUUUAGAAUUGGUAUGAAGAUGUAAACCUGAAAAUAUGGAGAGGGGGAGGGGCCAAACUUUCGGAAUUUCUGCAAGAAAACGAGGGAAAUGCAGAAGGAUUUUGAUCCAAGGCUAGCACUAGUUGAAACAGAAUUGCCUAAAGUUAGGAGCCCUUAGGGUUGGGGAUUCAGCAUUUUGGGAUAAGAAUUGCCUCACGAGACUAUGUCUGAGGGCCAGGAACCAAAUAAGAACUCGUAUUUAGUUAUAAGGGCACCUGGUAUGCAAGCUCUGAAAGUUCCGCUAAGUAAGCUUCUCUCACAACAGAGGGUAUCUCGGUGUGGGAAUGGUCUGGCUCCGCACUUGAUGAGGGAGAUGAAGCAGCAACGUUGUUCUCCAAUUAUCUUGGAAAACCCAAUCGACUAAUGCGCUUUAAUGAAGCCUCAGAAACGAGCCCGUGGAUACAAGGUUAAAUUUUCCGAUGGAUAUCCAUUUCUCAUGCUAUCCCAGGGAUCAUUAAACGCGUUAAAUACCCUUCUCCUAGUGAAUCGUUUUAGACCCAAUAUACUCGUUGAUGGAUGCUAGCAAUUUGCAGAGGAUUUGUGGAAGGAGAUCCUAAUAAACAAGUCGACGUUUUAUGGUGUUAAAUUAUGCAGUCACUGCAAGGUAAAAACUAUAUUCUCCCUCCACAAAUUUUCUGUGCCAUAACAUUACACUGUUACUUUUCUUAACCGCGUAUUAGAUACCCACAAUCAAUCAAGAAACUGCAGAAAUGGAGUCUGAACCAACUCAAACUCUCAAGCAGUUCCGUUCGGAUCAAGUGUCAACAGGGAAGUGUGUUUUUUGGGCAGAACAAAAAAAAAAAUGUUCAGCUUGCAAGCAUUUGAAGUGGGCAAAAACUAUACUAUACUAUACUAUAGCAGCCGAU
This is a long non-coding RNA of Ipomoea nil (Japanese morning glory), 960 nucleotides long. RefSeq lists it as uncharacterized. NCBI's taxonomy places the organism in Eukaryota, Viridiplantae, Streptophyta, Magnoliopsida, Solanales, Convolvulaceae. The record is from RefSeq and is a predicted model, not a curated record. The transcript is spliced from 6 exons.